RNAcentral lists this long non-coding RNA (16260 nucleotides) under Solanum tuberosum (potato). RNAcentral's name for it is "long non-coding RNA (STUB_LNC006040)". Lineage: Eukaryota; Viridiplantae; Streptophyta; Magnoliopsida; Solanales; Solanaceae. The record is from RNAcentral.
CUAGAUUAUUAUUUUAAUAGUUGAAGUGUUAAACUGAUAUAAUAAAAGACAAGUCAAGUUGUCUAGAUAUACAUGUAAAAUGUUUACUUGUCGGUUGGUUACCAAAUUUGAAUGUCGAUUUAUGUAUUAUGCCAAAAAUUAUUUAUGACCAAAUGGCCCCUAAACAAGAAGAAUUAGUGUAAUGAACCCAUUCCUUCUCUCUUCUUGUAGCUCCUCUUUCUCUUUGCAUCCAUACAAUUUCUAUGCACUUUACACACACACAACAUCAAUGUUCUCUAUGGUAUGAUUUUUUAUGAUCAAAUUUGUGUAUUUUUUUCUUCUUGAAAUUGCUAAAAAGAGUUUGUUAAGCUUAAAUUGUACUAUACUUUGCUAUUUAUAUACCCUUUUCUCAGAUCUUGAAUAUAACUAGUUCUGUUUAAUCCAAAUUGUAUCUUUUUUAUUCAAAUUGCUGUAAAGGGUUCUUGAUUUGGGUUAUCUUAGCUUAAACAUUAUAUUUCUCUGCAAUUUUGAUAUAAAGUUACUAAGUUCUGUUUAGUCACAGUCAUAUCUUGUUAUUAAGGGUUCUUGAUCUGGGAUUUCUCUGCAAUUUUAAUUCAAAGUUACUAUUUCUGUUUAAUCAAAAUUGUAUCUUUUCCUUUAAAUUUGCCAUAAAGGGUGUCUGUGCAUAGUAAGCAUAACAUCAUGUUACGAUUCGAUGUCGUUUUUCUCCGAAAACCACAAUGUUUUGCAGGUAGAAGAAGCCCUGAUUAGCAAUGAUAUAGACAUAGGGACAGUAUCUUCAAAUUGAUUACCACUGUAGAGAAUUCCCACUGAAAUUAUUGCUUCCCAAAUCUAGCACUAAUAGCUAAGCAAUGUGGAACCGAGUCAUUGUUGUGUGAUAAUUCCAGCAAUUUAAUGCCACUCACUCCCAUAACCCUGUUUGGUACUCAAAUUUCUGGAAUUAUCACACAACAAUGACUCGGUUCCACAUUUGCUUCAGCAACAUGGCUAAGCUGGUGCUGGGUUUGAGAAGUAAUAAUUUUGGUGUGAGUCUCUUUUCGCUAGCUGUUAUAUACUUGGAGCACUUCAUAUUUGAGAUUCAUCGCCUUGGAUGGUAGUCAAUUUAAAGGAACUGUCCUAUGCCCUCUCCUCUAUGAUGCCGAUAGUUUGAUACAAGAAACCUUUUGACUCCUUGUAUUUCAUUGUUCAGACCAAUGAUAUAGGUAAUAACAUUAGAAACCAUAUAGAGGAGAUCUAUCCAAGUGUAAUCAAUAUUGUCAUUCGGGUAUAACGUUUGGGGUUCGUGUGUGAUUGUGUUAUAGUAGCAAUGCCAGCUUUUGGCGUCAACUCUGUCGAAGUUGGCUAGUGGCUCUUAUAGUGAAGAAGAUGAGGAGGAUGUGAUGUUAGUGGAGUUGGUAACCUUAUUCUUGUACAAUUAUCCUUUUUCAUAUACAGUACUCAGUUUUAGAUGCCCUCCCUACAUAUAUGUUAUCUAUCUUCCAUAUACCCCAGUCAGUAGUUCAAAGGUUGGAUAAAAUCAGAAGAAACUUCUUAUGGCAAGGCAAUAAGGAAAGGAAAGGUUUUCAUUUGGUCAAAUGGAAGAACAUUAUCAGAAGCAAAGAACAAGGUGGACUAGGCAUCAAGAACCUUAAAUACCAAAGCAAAGCACUCAAGGUCAAGUGGCUAUGGAGGUACCAUCAGGAGGACCAAGCACUCUGGUACAGGGUAAUCAAGAGCAAGUAUGAGCAACUGAACACAUGGGUAACUAAAGAGGUCAACACCCCUUAUGGUAUUAGCCUCUGGAAAUCCAUUAGAAUAUUCUGGCAGUUUCUUAGUAAUCAAUUAACUGUCAAAGUUCGAAAUGGCAGAAAAACAAGUUUUUGGAUUGAUAAAUGGAUGGGUACUGUGAGCCUUAAAGAUCUCUUUCCUGACAUCUUUGUUUUGGCUCAACACCAAGAGAAAACUGUUGCUGAAAUGUGGUCACCACAAGGAUGGAAUAUGAUCUUUAGAAGAAACUUGAAUGACUGGGAAAUUCCCAGAAUGAUUGAACUCUUCACACUUCUGGAGAGUUUCCAAGGAAUCCAAACAGGUGAAGACUAUUUAUGGUGGCAUGGGCACAACAAAGGAAGAUACAGGGUGAAGGAAGGAUAUAAACAAACAAGUCUUAGGGAGAAUCAAGACUUCAAAUGGCCUUGGAAGCAAAUCUGGAGAGUCAAAGUGCCACAAAAAGUGGCAUGCUUCACCUGGCUGCUAGCCAAUGAAGCAGUUCUGACAUUGGACAAUGUGGCCAAGAGAGGUAUAUCUCUAUGCAACAGAUGCUCCUUAUGUGGUAAGGAUACAACAGUAAAACACCUCUUUCUACACUGCAAUUUCACUGACCAACUGUGGCAGAUUUUCCUUAAUCUCAGAGGCAUUUCCUGGAGUAUGCCUAGCAAGAUUGAUGAGACUCUUUUCAGUUGGGAGGAGGCUGGAGUUGGGGCUACAAACAGAGAAAGAUGGAGGAUGAUCCCUGCUUGUAUAUGGUGGACUAUAUGGAGAGAGAGAAAUGAUAGAUGCCCUUAUGGUAUUAGCCUCUGGAAAUCCAUUAGAAUAUUCUGGCAGUUUCUCAGUAAUCAAUUAACUGUCAAAGUUCGAAAUGGCAGAAAAACAAGUUUUUGGAUUGAUAAAUGGAUGGGUACUGUGAGCCUUAAAGAUCUCUUUCCUGACAUCUUUGUUUUGGCUCAACACCAAGAGAAAACUGUUGCUGAAAUGUGGUCACCACAAGGAUGGAAUAUGAUCUUUAGAAGAAACUUGAAUGAUUGGGAAAUUCCUAGAAUGAUUGAACUUUUCAAGCUACUGGAGAGUUUCCAAGGAAUCCAAACAGGUGAAGACUAUUUAUGGUGGCAUGGGCACAACAAAGGAAGAUACAGGGUGAAGGAAGGAUAUAAACAAACAAGUCUUAGGGAGAAUCAAGACUUCAAAUGGCCUUGGAAGCAAAUCUGGAGAGUCAAAGUGCCACAAAAAGUGGCAUGCUUCACCUGGCUGCUAGCCAAUGAAGCAGUUCUGACAUUGGACAAUGUGGCCAAGAGAGGUAUAUCUCUAUGCAACAGAUGCUCCUUAUGUGGUAAGGAUACAACAGUAAAACACCUCUUUCUACACUGCAAUUUCACUGACCAACUGUGGCAGAUUUUCCUUAAUCUCAGAGGCAUUUCCUGGAGUAUGCCUAGCAAGAUUGAUGAGUCUCUUUUCAGUUGGGAGGAGGCUGGAGUUGGGGCUACAAACAGAGAAAGAUGGAGGAUGAUCCCUGCUUGUAUAUGGUGGACUAUAUGGAGAGAGAGAAAUGAUAGAUGUUUUGAAUAUAGGGACAACAACCUGCAGGAAGUCAAGCUUAAAUGUAUUUUGCUGUUCUGUUUUUGGUGUAUAAAUGUCUACUCCAAUGAGACUGAGUCAAUCAUAGAUGUUUUAGGGUCCAUCUAGAUCCUGGUUUAGCAUUGGAAAGACUAAUCUUUUUCUUCUUUUUUGUAAAUAUGGUUUUUUAGUACUACCUAAGUACUGACUGAAAUACAAAUGUUACUAGUGUCAAAAAAAAUAUACUUUUACUUGUUUUAGUAGGUAACCAGCUUCAAUGUUAGUAUCUUUUAUGAGACUUGAUAGGGUUAGAGUCCUUCUACGUUGUCGGUUUAUAGAAGCUUAAUCUCUUCUCAAUAACAAUGAUAUCUGAUGUGUUUGCGCAUCUGUACUUGUAAUUCUCCUACGGGUACAUUGUUGUAACGUCUCCAAUAGCAUGCUCUUACUUUGUCUUUCCCUUAAUACGUCAUCAAAUUUGGUUCUUUUUGAUCCCCAGUUGCUAUCUAUAGAUAUGCAUAUUUGAUUAUCUGAGGUCUAACUCCUACACCAUAGCUUCAGUAAUUUUUCAUGAUCACAGAUCACAUGCCUCAGGCUGCUUGUUUGUUACAACAACAACAUACCCAAUGUAAUCUCAUAAGUAGGGUCUGAGGAGAGUGUUGUGUAUGCAGUAACGCAGACCUUACCCCUACCUUGUGAGGUAGAGAGGUUGUUUCCGAUAGACCCUCAGCUCAGCUAGAGCAUAUCAAAUCAAGUACGAAUAGGAAAUACAAUAGUGAGGAAGUCACGUUGAAAAUAUUGGUGGAAAGAACAGUAGCGAUAGCAAGUAAUACAAUAAUUGAAGCAAAGGAAACAACAUGUAAUGUUAUACUAGACAUAUAGUUCAUCUAAUGUUGGUCUCAGAAUUUCUUUUACACUUUGUAAUGUUAUACCAUACAGCUCGGAUUAUCUACUAUUACCUGCAUUAUCCCUCUAUUACAGCUCAAAAAGACCUGAGUAACUAGAAAUAAAUCACCUUAUAUUUUGUAUCUUCUGCUAGGCCUCCUUUCCUUUUUUGGAUUAUUUUCCUUGAGCGAGGGUCUAUCGGAAACAAUUUCUCGACCUAUGAGUUAGGGGUAAGGUUUGCGUACACUCUACCCUCCCCAGACCCUACUUUGUGGGACUAUACUGGGUAUGUUGUUGUUGUUCUUUUGUUUUCUUCUACUUAUUUGUGGCUCAUCCUUGCAAUGGGAUGUAAUUUGAUCAACAUGAGUUUGAAUGAUCGAGGUCUAUCUCCUUGCUUUCAAUAAUUGUGUUGGGGUUGACUAUAUGAAUCAUCUGAUCGAUUCCGCUCUUAGACUAUUUUUACAUUGAUUGUCGACUUAUUGUAGAUCUCUUCUUUGUAGUUGAUUUUCCCUGUUCAUUUAUUACCUUACUUGUGUCUAUGUGAUGAUUGCCGACUCCAAUGUUGCUUGGACUCUUCGUAAUUGUCCCUAGUGCUUGUCGGAUCCUCCAAAAGAAGAUCCGAUAUGGGAAAUGCAACAUUUCUCGAAAGUCCUAGUAACAUAGUUCAAGGCAAUAACAUGAUGAAAUUCAAAUAUAUCUCAAUUUAGAUUGGUUAAAAGUAUCCUGGUGGUUGUUGAGCCUUGUGAUUAGCCACAAAAUAUUAUGUUGCUCGGAUUCUUCAAAUAUACAGUUGAGUGCAUGUCAGAUCCUUCGAAAGUAGCACAUUUUAAGAGGAUCCAACAAGGGCGCGGAAGCAUUUUUCGAAGUGGUUAUACAUUGAUAUGUGUAACUUCAAUGUGUAGAUUAUGUUAGUUCACAUUAUCACAUAUUAUUAAAAGUGGGAAGAUCUUAACCUCAAAGUUGGAUUACUAUUUUACCCCUACAAUAAAUUAAAAUUUUAUAAAAAAAUCUAAUUAAUUUUUAUCUAAUUAAUUAAAAAUUAAAUAUAUAUAUCAUACUACAUAAUAUAUUAAUAUUUCAAAUUAUAAUACUAUAUCCUUCUAUUUAAUUUUCUAAAGUAUUUAAAGCUAGGGAGAAAGUUUUAAUUUAUGUAGUCAAUGUCUUUCAAUUUCGUAAGGCAAAUGAUCAGAUUUUUUAAAGUCUUUCAUGCAUCACUUAAUUACUGAAGUUGAAAGGUUUUUUCUGCUUUAAAUUUUGAACACACAACUUAACUUACAUUCAAUUACAAUGUAUACGGUAAAUGAAAAGAUCACUCUUUUGAAUUUUCAUAUGUCACUUCAACCUUUCUAUUUAACUUGAAUUAUUUUCAUCUUCCACAUAUUAUUGAAAUAUAUAGAUAUUUAAGACAUGUAGAAAGAAAAUAACAACACAAAUCAAGAUCACUCAAAAGUACAAGAAUUCAUAUUCCAACCUUUUUUCUUGGAAUGAGAAUUUUCUUGGUCUUCUCUGUUGCAUGAAACUAUAUGAUGGCACAGAAAGGUUCUAAUACAUUUGAAAGUGUUAUUUUGACAUUUAGAUGGACGUACAAUAAAUCUAUUGAAAGAGUAAGUCACAAUUUAAUUAGCUAUCAAUUUUUUCCUUGAUACUUUCCGUUUUAGUUUUGUUAUUUAUAUAAUUCUUCCUUCUAUAUUUAAUGAUUCGAUUGUUAUAUUUAGAUAAUAUGUAGGUAUAUUAAUAGAAAAAAAGUAAGGUGGACUACAAAUUUGGGAUAUGUUGUUCAUAAUGUUUUUUAUAUUUCUUUGAUUGUUUGUCAGGGUAUAAAAUGAAUUUCAUUGUGUAUGUUCCUUUUGGCUAUGAUUCAAUCCUAAUGCAUAAUUUUUCUCUCUGAUAUGGUGUCCCCUCUUCAAUCAUUUUGUGCUAUAUUACAUUGUGCCAUAAGUUUCCUUAAGUUUUCAUUGUAUUUGUCCCUUUUUUUCCUACCAAGGUUGUUUUUGGUUGAAGGGUAAAAAAUAUUUAAACAAUAGAGUAUAAAAUUGGAUUAUCAUUUUAUCCCUAUGUUAAAUCAAAAUAUUAUAAAACAUUUACUUAAUUAAAUAUUAAAUAGUAAUCAUUUUAUAUGCUACACUAAAUAUUAAAAAUCUGAAAAUGUUAAGUCAAAAGUUGAAAGACAAAAUAUUCAUAAAAAAAACAUUAGGCAUUUCUACCCUUUUAAAGACUAAAUUAGUUCCAUUUUUAAAAUCUUUUUCUUUAUACUAAAAAGUAAAUUAUUUUAUUAUGAGACCAUUGAGUUAGGAAGACCAUAAUGCCCACUAAAGAUUGAAUGAUUAUUUUAAUCUGUAAGUGUAAAUUAUUCAUUCAUUCUGUUAAAGGAAUGCUGAUCGAAAAGAUGGAAGAUCUUGCAAUGUUUCAUCGAUAAUAAUUUAGACAAAUUACUUGGUGCAUCUUUAAUUGCUACUAUUAUUUUGAAUAAUAAUUGCAGUCAUUGUCUUCUUUCAUUUCAUUGUGAUAAGGCGUAAUAUAUUCAUCUUCAUAACUUAUACUAUUUAAUUACUCUAUUUUUAUCCAUAUAAUUCAUCUUUAUUUGUUUCAUGAGGAUCCUAACUAUGGUUAUUCUUUUUAUUCUAUAGUUUAAAUAAUGUACCGCUUAUAUAAUUAUUGUUCUAUUUGAUUCAUACUUUAACUAAAUGAAGAAGACUCUUGAAUUAUAAUUGUCAACAAAAACUCGAAAAAAUAUAUAGUGAUUCUGUAUUUCUUUUUCCAUAUACAUAUUGUGUUAUGAUUAAAGUCUUAAAAAAGAUGUGUAUGUUGUUGCAUGUUUUUUUCUUUGUUUAUUUUUUAUGUGUUUUCUCUCUAUUAAACUUCUUUAAUUUGAUUUUCUAUAAAUUUCUGAUGGUUCUAAGUGUAUUUUUAUUUAGGCUAAAAUUAAUCUUUUGUGACUAUAAUGCAAAUUGGCUAAUUACUAUCUAAAGUUCUAAAUUUACAGUUUGUUGCUUAGAAUAAAUUUUAAACAUUAAAAUAAGAUCCCUCAUUUGAUGUUUCUUGUCACAAUUUUAAAAUUUUAUUUAUAAUUGUUACAUUUUAUUAUAUGCAUGUACACGUAGAAUUCUAAUUAUUCUAAUGAAUAUAUAAAAAUUAGCAUGGGACACACGUGCAACGCACGUGUCCUGAAACUAGUUGAUUAAAAAAAUGAACAUGUUUGUUAGAUAAUUUUCAUCAUGUUACUAUACUUUGUUCUAAUCACAAUGGUGUUUGAGUAGAAUAGAGUGUACAUUGACUAUUCACGGGGUGCCUGUUACUUUCUACCAUUUAUAUAUUAAGGAUGGUGACCAAACAUUUCUUUCUGUUAAUUCAAACUACAUAAUAAGUCAAAAUAUUUCUUUUGUUUCAUUUAUGCGACCUUAUUUAACUAAUUAUAAUGAUUAAAAGCUUAUAUAAGUUGACUUGGUGUAAACAUUUGGUGCAGAUAACUUCUUACUCCUAAUUAUUUGCUAAUGCAACAUACUACUUAGCUAAUUGCUAAUUCAACAUAUUACUUAGCUAAUCACUAUUAGUGGAAAUCAUUAUUUAUUGAAUCGACUUUUCUAAAAGACAUUUCAAACUUAAUCAUAGAGCAAUUAUUACAUUUCUUUCAAUCUAUGCAAGACAAAUGGUACCUUAUGGUUGAAGGCAAAUUUAAAAUAGUCCUUUGAAUAUACUUCGAGGGAUAAGAAGCAAUGGUGAAAUCAGAAAUUUUACUGAAAAAUGUUAAAAGUAUAAAAAAGUAAAUACACGUAACAAAAAUUAAAGGAGGGGUGGGGGAAUUAACAUAUAGUAUUUAUACAUAAAAUUAAAAUUUCAACCUAGUUAUAAUUUUUUGAUGAAUGAUGUAUAUUGCAAUUGUAUGUCACAAAAGGCAUAAUUUCGUUAAUGUCCAAAGUACCCUAACUGAAGGUCAAAAAUGUUUAAUUGGAUAUUAGAAAGACUCAAAUUGGCCGAUAACUCCGGGACUAAAGCGUCAUUUUCCCAUUUGCUAAACAAAAAUGUCACAUUUUGUUGGCGUUCUGUAUACACAAAAGAGAAUUAACCAAUCAACACGUUUUUUAAUUCCAUUUUUCUAAGAAAACUUAGAGUUAAUAGUAAAUAUACACUUAAACUAAUUUUUUUCGCGAGUUUCAUACUUUAACUAUUCAUGGUUCUUUUUAAUUACUAAACUUUCAACUUUUCAUGAAUUUCAUAUCUUAAUUAUCACUCCUUAAACACACACCCCGAUUCUGAAUUGGCCUAUACACACUUAUUGUCAAUUGAAAAUAAAUAUUUAGCUAACUCAACAUCGAAAUAUAUUUUAAUAUAAAUAGAAUGAUAGUUUAGAUAGUCAAGAAAAUAGUGAAUAAUUAAGAUAUGAAAUACCAAUUAAAUUUUAACUUUUAAAGCCAAGCAAAAUCAGUGUCUUUUGCCAAUGCAAGAAAAAAAGGAAAAUGAAAAAAAAAAAACAUUUCAAAUAAUUCUAGCCUCCCACUUUCUUUUAACUUUUUCUUGUUCCUUUCCUCAUUAUUAUAAAAUAUGUGGUAGAAUAGAUGGUUGAAUAUUUCUAGUGGCAUCAAUACUUUUUGCUCCCUCCCUCUUGCAAUUUUUUUUUUUUUAUAAAUACUCAAUUCAUUAUUUUUCAAAAAUAUUAAAUUAUAAACUCAUAAUCCUAAAAAUGUCACAACAAAUUUAAUGAUAAAAUUUUAAAGAUCGGAUCUAAAAAGUUCCUAUUCUAAAUCUGCGAUAGACCCGCCCCUCCCCCCUCUCCCCUCUCCGCCCCACCAAACCCCCAAGUGGUACCUUCUCACUCCUAUAAAUUCAUGCUCUGUUUUUGCUCUGUUUUUUUUUAGUACAACAAAACUUCCAUUAUGUCUCAAAAUCUUGAAGAUGUGAGUAGUUGGAGCUUCAUACAAAUCCUCAACAACCCUUCUACCUACCAUCAUCAACUCGAUUAUAAAGAAGACGAUAAUGAUAACGUCUACAUUCACCCUUCUACGAAGCUAUCUUCUCUCGUCAUGAGCACGAAAAGCUUGGAGAUGUGCACGGAGAGCUUAGGAAACGAGACGGGUUGUUAUUUCAACGAAAGCAUGGAGGAAAGGGACAUUUCUCAUGGCGUUCAACGAUCAAAAUGUCGAGAAUUCAAGAAAAGAAUUAAAAGGACAGUGAAUUUCCCACCUCCGCUGACUUCAAUCAGCGGAAAUGAGAGGGUUAGAAUAAGAUCUCACCGUGAAGGUGGUCGUUUAGUGUUAAGAGCUGUAAGCAUACAUGCUUGCAGCUCUUACUUUAAAGCAGAGCGUGCCAAUGGCACGCUCACGCUUUCGUGGCGAAAUGAUGGUACUAGUAGUAAAGUUGCACAAAUGGCUGAAGUUGAAAAUGGUGAAGAGGCAAAUAGUUGUAGAAAAUUAACUAGUGAAAUUGGGAUACCAAGAAGGUGUAAAGAAAAAAGUGGAAGUAGAAUUAAAGGGAUUUCAAAUUGGGGCCAAUUUUGGGUGGCCAUUUCCUAAAAUACUAGUAUAUUGUAAUGGUGAUGUUCGAACCAUCUUGCGUGUAAUUAUUUCUUGUUCUUCUAAGAGAAUGUAUCUCAACUUUCCAUUGGUGGUGAAUUACAAUUUAUUUUGUUUUUUCACUUGAUAUUCGAAAUUUACUUUGAAACUUUUAUUAAUUUGAAUUUACACCGUAAAGAGAUCGUAUACAUCAUACCAUAAACUUUGUUUAUAUGAUGAAUUACAAUGAUAAGUACAACUUGAUUUAUGAUUAUGGAGCGCGCUCAUAGUGCAAAAUUCAGUUCAAACGUUGUGAAAUUUGAGUUGAGAGACUAUAUACCUCAAAAUGCAUGUCUCAUUUUAUUUAUACAUAUUUUUCACAAAUAUAUACAAACUUUGAACCUAAAAUUACCAGUUAUGUCAAAUUUGCAAAUCCAUUACUGAAUUUGUCACUAAAUGUAUAAAAGGGGUUUUGAUUUAAAAUAUUUGUUUUCUCUAUUCGAUGUCCAAUAUCUAAAGACUCAACUAAUCUGAUUUCAUGCACAACAAAACUCAUUUUUUAGGAUGACACUCCCAAUUUCUUUUUAUUUUGGUGGAAAUGUUACUAUAUCUCAUCAAUUUUAAAGGGUCACAUUCAUCCUAUAAUUGUUGCAUGUGUUAAUCAUUUGAAAAGGAAAAAAGUUCUUGCCACAACAAGUGGCUACUUCCCUGUCAAAAAUUCAGUACUAUCUUGACCUAUUCAUAUUAUUUGUCUUUUAUAAUUUUAUACAUUUUCAAAAAAAGUUAUAUUCUUUUACUUAAUUAAUACUCUACUAAUUUAUAUAGCGAGGAUGACUUUAAAAAAAUAUAUACAUUAAAUAUUUGAAACAAAUUCAGUUUAUCAAAACGAUUAAUAUUUAAAAUUCUAUCACAUGCAUGAGCAAUGAUCCAUUCACAAUAUAGGGACAUGUUAUAACAUGUUACUUCUCAUUACUUUCGUCCACCUAUCGUACCAAAAAUAUACAUGGCGUUAAGAUUUUGGCAUAUCAAUAUCUUUACUACUAACAUAAUGGUUAAAGUGAUAAAAGAACACUUUUCGAUCCACAUGAAAAACAUAAUGAUUUAGAUAUUGUCUCAAAGAAAGCUUGAUAAAAUAAAUAUAUUUGUGAAGAUAUGAACUACGAGACUUAAAAAAAAAAGAGAGAACAAAAAGAAACCUAAUUAUUGGUUGGGUUUAUUUGGUCCCAAUCACAUCAACUUGACAAAGGUGUCCAUAGAACAACCUUACCAACAGACAGAAACAUACAUAGGAAGCAAAAUAUAUAUAUGUGGAUAAGUUUUAUGGAUGACUAGAUUUUAUUUAAGUUGUAAUAAUAUGCUAGGUCAAGAAAAUUACUAAGAAGAACAAAAAAAUAAAUUAAUAUUUUCCUUGGCUAGAAUGGAUGUUGAAAGAAAAAAAAGAAAUUAAAAGCUUGAAAAGAAAGAAACCCAAUAAGAAUAAGUUUGAUUGGUUCCUCAUUAGUGUCAUAGAUUUAAUGUUCUCAAAAAGUUGAAUUGAAUCUUUAAUUUUAAUUAUAUAUAAUUCUCUUCUUGUCCAUAUAUCUAGUCAAAUGGUAAAAGUUUGUGUCAUUGUCCAAAAAUGGAUAAGGCACCAUAUAGUGUUUGGGUUUGAAUCAAUUAAACCAUAUUCUUAAUAUAAUGUGAUUUUAGCAAAUAAUUCACAUUCAUUAAAAAUAUUAUACAUUUUAGGCGUAAUAUGUAGAUAUAUAUAUUUUAAUUUAGUCUUAAUUGAUAAUUAAAUACUUCAAUUUUUAAUAUACACAUUUAGAGAAUUGGGUGUCCACGCGAAGCAUAGUGAGGACAAGUUUCAAUAUUUUAGCUGUCAGUUAAGAUCAAGUUGAUGUACACUUUUAAAGUUAGAGUGUUUAUUGCCAAUUAAGGCUAAAUUUGAGUAUUUGUUUAUGUGUUAUACAUAGUAGAUUUAAAGCGAUAAAUGUAUAAAAAAAAGGUGAUUAAAGAUGAUAUGAUACAACUUCAACUUAUUGAAAGUAUGUCCUUAUAUAAAAAAUGUUAUAAAAGUUGAGCAUUGUGAUAGAAUAUUAGCCGGUAGUUGAGUAGAGCCGCAUGUCAUGUUUGGGAGGGAGGGGACUAGCCUUAGUAAUUAUUUAGUAACCGCGUAAUUUCUUAUUCCGCAUUAUUCAUUCCUUUCUAUUACUCCAUGCAUUUGCUUUUUCUAUUACUAUUUGUUAUUAUAUUUUUUCAUUCUACUUCAAAAUAUUUCUUCUGAUCAAGGAGUCAAUUGAAAUAACACCUCUACCUUAUAGAAAUAGAAGUAAAAUUUGUAUAUAUUCUAUUUUGUUCGAACUAGACAUGUGAAUUAUACUGAAUAUGAUAUUUUAUAUAAUUAAAAUAUUUUAUGUUUUAUGCAAUUUAUUCUCUUAGAAUCUUAGGAGUAGUAUUUAUGACUUCUAUUUGGAAUUAUAUAUCUUGUAGUGGCAAUACUUUUGUCUUUCUCUAUACAUAUAUAAUUUUGUCACUUAUCAAGAGGCAUGAAGGAGUAGGGGGGGGGGGGGGGGGGGGGGGGGGGGGGGGGGGGGGGGGGGGGGGGGGGGGGGGGGGGGGGGGGGGGGGGGGGGGGGGGGGGGGGGGGGGGGGGGGGGGGGGGGGGGGGGGGGGGGGGGGGGGGGGGGGGGGGGGGGGGGGGGGGGGGGGGGGGGGGGGGGGGGGGGGGGGGGGGGGGGGGGGGGGGGGGGGGGGGGGGGGGGGGGGGGGGGGGGGGGGGGGGGGGGGGGGGGGGGGGGGGGGGGGGGGGGGGGGGGGGGGGGGGGGGGGGGGGGGGGGGGGGGGGGGGGGGGGGGGGGGGGGGGGGGGGGGGGGGGGGGGGGGGGGGGGGGGGGGGGGGGGGGGGGGGGGGGGGGGGGGGGGGGGGGGGGGGGGGGGGGGGGGGGGGGGGGGGGGGGGGGGGGGGGGGGGGGGGGGGGGGGGGGGGGGGGGGGGGGGGGGGGGGGGGGGGGGGGGGGGGGGGGGGGGGGGGGGGGGGGGGGGGGGGGGGGGGUGGGGGGGGGGGGGGGGGGGGGGGGGGGGUCAUGGUGCCAUAUGGAUACUUAGAAAUCCAAACAAUUUCUUGUGGUGUGUCUACUUUUGUAUUUAAUUAUAAAAACACUUUUUUAUUGCAGUUCAUUUCUUCAAUAAAGCAAAUGACGUAUAGCUUUAGUUACACUUGUGGGAAGAAAUGAACUUCAAUAAAAAAAGGGUUGGUCAUUAACCUUUAGUUCCGCUUUUAAAUUCAAUGAAUGUAUAUUAACUUGAAAACGUUAUAAAAUCCCCUAAAAGUUCAAAUAUAUAGCAUGUUGGGUGUGUCAUCAUAUACAUAAUUUAUCCACUAGCUUUAUUAUUAUUAUUAUUAUUAUUUUAUAUGAAUCCAUUAACUUUUAUAUGGUGAGGUGUUAAAGGGACAAGAAUACUAUGAAUGGGACAUGAACAAGAUUUGCAUUAGAGGGAAUUCCCAUUCCAAUUUGACCUUUUUGGUAAGUUUGAGGCUGAGAAAUUUUGCAAUAUAUAGAAAAAAUUAAAUUAAAAAGAAAGAGCAAAAAAAUAAUAUACUUUAUAAAGAAAUGAGUAAAGGCCAUAUAUUUGUGUUGAAUAAUUAAACUACAUUUAGUUAAUUAAUUAUAAUUAAGCAUAAAGGGUUUGCUUUUACUUCUAUGCAAGUGACUAGUGAGCUUCAAGUGUUUACCUCACACUCAAAGCCACAAUAACAACAAUAACAAUAGCAUACCAUGGGGCACAGAGUCCGACACAGUAGUGAUGAGUUGAAGUGUCUAAAUGUGCAUCCAAAGUUGGUGUGUUUAGUAUAUUAAUUUGUUACAUUAUUAAAAACUAAAAAAAAAUACAGACUGAAAUACGUCACUGUCAUGAAACAUAGGGAAAUCGUAUAGAUACAGAGUUCCAUCUUUAAACUAUUACAAAUACUCCAAUCUAGUUAUCAAAUAUUCCAAGGGAAGAAGAAACAGAAAAGGAAUAAGUAUAAAGGAAACAACAAAAUUGUUGUUUUCCAUCAACUUGCAACAUAGGGUACAAUUUUUUUUUACAAUAUUUGAUAUAGGUAAGAUUACAACAUGGCGCACAGACUCCACUGGUGCGAUUACACUAGGAGCAAAAAACAGUUUUACUCAAAUUCACUAUUUCUUCAUUCAUCAUCAUAGAUAUCAUCAAGGGAUUUGGAAAUUCCAUAUAGAUCUUUUUCACGUGCUCCGGAUCCAUCAUUUGCCUCAGUAUGUUCCUCAGGUGAACAUGAAAUAUCCAAUCCCAUUCCUCUAAGUAAGCCUUCGUAGGACGCAGAGAGAUCUUCUGAGGCCAACUGGUGGUACUCAACAAGUUGUCUAAGGCACUGGUUCUCCCUAUUCAAGUUUGCAUUUUCAUUUGCAAACCUGGAUUUUUCAGCUAGAAGUGCCUCCAUUUGGAGCCUCACCUAAGUAAAUUUAUAAGAUAAACAGAAGGUUAGAUACAGACAAUUUCGACUAGUAAACAGUUUCGAGUUUCAUGGUUCAAGUAGUAAACAAAUGAGUGUCACGGUUCAAGCAGUACACAAUUUGAGUGUCACAGUUCAAGUAGUAUAUUUACCAUAUGAUACUGUCAGUUUAUAGCAAAGUAUAUUUCACAUUCUAUCAUGAUUCAAGCAGUAAACAAUUUGUGUAACGUGCUUCAAGUAGUAUAUAGUUUGAGUGUCACGCGGUUCAAGUAGUAAGCAAUUUGACUGUCACAUUCAACUAGUAUCACUCUAUGUUAUCAACCAUAUGAUACUGUCCGUUCAUAUAGCAUAAUAUAUAUUUUACAUUCUGUCACAGUUCACCACAAAGUACAAUUUGAGAGUCACGGUUCAAGCAGUAAACAACUUGAGUGUCACACUUCAAGUAGUAAACAAUUUAAGCGUCACGCUUCAAGUAGUAACCAAUUUGAGUGUCAUGGUUCAAAAAUAAACAUUUUAAGUGUCACAGUUCAAAGUAAUAUACAUUUUGAGUGUCACUGUUCAAGUAGUAUCACUCUAUAUUAUCUACCAUAUGAAACUGUCAGUUUAUACAGCAAAGUAAAUUACAUUCUGCUAUGGUUCAAGUAGUAAACAAUUUUACUGUCAUGCUUCAAGUAGUAAGCAAUUUGUGUGUGACGAUUCAAAUAGUAAACAUUUUGAGUGUCACGCUUCAAGUAGUGUAUCACUCAAUGUGAUAUAUUAUACUGUCAGUUUAUACAACUUAAAUCUAUUUCACAUUGCAUCGCAGAUCAAGUAGUAAACAAUUUGAGCGAGGAUGUCAAGUAUUACCAGGUCGUCUUCUUCUGGUGGUAUCCCAGUGUCAAAGCCAUCACGAAGCCUUCUAUUCUCCUCCUCCAAAAGAGCAGAACGUUCUUGCAUAAAGCGCAAGUCUGAUCUCAUUGAUUUCAGUUCUCGAGCUAACGUGGCUGCUUUUGACGCCAUGGAAAUCGCAAGCUUCACAGAGUUAAUAAUGUCAAGUUAGCUUGUGAACACAAAUGCAAAAGUAACUAUAAUGUAACACCAACAAAAAUAAAAUGAGAGAGACGGGUACCAACAUUUUUGGCUUUCUUGAACUUCCCAAUAUGUUUCAAGACCUGCCCAUUUUCUUUUUUGGUAUCAUCAUCUUGUUGUGAAUCCUCCGAGCAUUCGUCCAAUUUCCUCUUCAAUCCUUUGUUUCCUUCUUCAGUCUCUUCGUUUUCUUCGUCUCCCUCAUGUUUACCUUCCUUUGAUUGGUUUUCUCGACCUGCCUUCUCCAUUGUGCAAUGAAGUAUAUCUGUCAAUGUGGGUGGUUUUGCUAGAUCCCUUGCUCCCUGUAUGAGAAAAUUACAGGAUGCAUGAUCAAUAACUCCAUGUAUGCACGGGCAAACACAGUUUCAACUUGUAUGCUUUCUUUUUCAACUAUAUUAUGCAGUGCAUUUACUCCUAAGUACUCUUCUUAAGCUUCAACUUCUACAAAAUAUAGUCAUUAUGACUUAUGUACGCCUUGAAACGUUACAUUCCAGAAGUGUAAGAGUAUCUAUGAGCAGCAUCUUCUUCUAACCCCAUCUAGCAAUUAUUUAUGAUUACAACAACACCAACAUACCCAGUAUAAAGUGGGCUCUGGGAGGGUAGAGUGUACACGGACCUUGCCUCUACCUCGGAGGUAAGAGAGGUUGUUUCCGGUAGACCCUUGAUUCAAGGAAAACAAUCCAAAGCAAGUCCAGAAAAGGAGUAAUGGAAGUGAAAGCAUAUCAAGACAUUCUAAACAGUAACUACAACAAAAUAGUAAUGCUACGACUGCUAGAAUUGAUUGAUAUUAAGACAACACACUACAACACUGAUAAUCGAAGUACAAGAAACAACAAAUAGUAACAGAAACCAAAUGACAUGAAACUAAAGGAACAAUACUAGAAUUGACUGAUAUUUUAGACAACACACUACUACCUACUAAUUUACUACCCUACUCCGUGCCCUCCAUUUAUGAUUAACAAACACAAAUGCUCAUCCAAAUUAAGGUACAAAAACUCAGUUUACAAACCAAAAAUGCAUCCCAACAUUUGAAAAAAUCAUAGAUUUAAUCCUAUAUGAGCUUUAAUCAAA